AGGACGAACGCUGGCGGCGUGCCUAAUACAUGCAAGUCGAACGGCUUUUCUAUGGAAGCUUGCUUCCACUGAGAAGAUAGUGGCGAACGGGUGAGUAACACGUGGGUAACCUGCCCAUAAGAGGGGGAUAACAUCCGGAAACGGGUGCUAAUACCGCAUAGUUUUCUUGAUCGCAUGAUCGGGAAAGGAAAGACGGCCUUUGUGCUGUCGCUUAUGGAUGGACCCGCGGCGUAUUAGUUAGUUGGUGAGGUAACGGCUCACCAAGACGAUGAUACGUAGCCGACCUGAGAGGGUGAUCGGCCACAUUGGGACUGAGACACGGCCCAAACUCCUACGGGAGGCAGCAGUAGGGAAUCUUCCGCAAUGGACGAAAGUCUGACGGAGCAACGCCGCGUGAGUGAAGAAAAGGUUUUCGGAUCGUAAAACUCUGUUGUCAGAGAAGAACAAGUUGGAGAGUAACUGCUCCAGCCUUGACGGUAUCUGACCAGAAAGCCACGGCUAACUACGUGCCAGCCGCUGC
Molecule: ribosomal RNA, 520 nt
Filed under: uncultured bacterium
Lineage: Bacteria
Description: bacterial SSU rRNA
Rfam family: Bacterial small subunit ribosomal RNA
Source: RNAcentral